GAUGAACGCUGGCGGCGUGCCUAAUACAUGCAAGUCGAGCGAACGGACGAGAAGCUUGCUUCUCUGAUGUUAGCGGCGGACGGGUGAGUAACACGUGGAUAACCUACCUAUAAGACUGGGAUAAUUUCGGGAAACCGGAGCUAAUACCGGAUAAUAUUUUGAACCGCAUGGUUCAAAAGUGAAAGACGGUCUUGCUGUCACUUAUAGAUGGAUCCGCGCUGCAUUAGCUAGUUGGUAAGGUAACGGCUUACCAAGGCAACGAUGCAUAGCCGACCUGAGAGGGUGAUCGGCCACACUGGAACUGAGACACGGUCCAGACUCCUACGGGAGGCUGCAGUAGGGAAUCUUCCGCAAUGGGCGAAAGCCUGACGGAGCAACGCCGCGUGAGUGAUGAAGGUCUUCGGAUCGUAAAACUCUGUUAUUAGGGAAGAACAUAUGUGUAAGUAACUGUGCACAUCUUGACGGUACCUAAUCAGAAAGCCACGGCUAACUACGUG
This 497-nucleotide ribosomal RNA is filed under the name uncultured bacterium. RNAcentral describes it as "partial 16S ribosomal RNA". It matches the Rfam family "Bacterial small subunit ribosomal RNA", at positions 28 to 507 of the family's 1533-position model. The record is from RNAcentral.